ACGGAAGGCAGCAGUGGGGAAUAUUGGGCAAUGGGCGCAAGCCUGACCCAGCAAUGCCGCGUGAAGGAAGAAGGCUUUCGGGUUGUAAACUUCUUUUAAGUGGGACGAUAAUUACGGUACCACUUGAAUAAGCUCCGGCUAACUACGUGCCAGCAGCCGCGGUAAUACGUAGGGAGCAGGCGUUAUCCGGAUUUACUGGGUGUAAAGGGCGUGUAGGCGGGACUACAAGUCAGAUGUGAAAGCACGAGGCUCAACUUCGGGUCUGCAUUUGAAACUGUAGGUCUUGAGUGUGGGAGAGGCUAACGGAACUCCUAGUGUAGAGGUGAAAUGCGUAGAUAUUAGGAAGAACACCAGUGGCGAAGGCGGUUAGCUGGACAAUAACUGACGCUGAGGCGCGAAAGCGUGGGGAGCAAACAGGAUUAGAUACCCUGGUA
This 434-nucleotide ribosomal RNA is filed under the name uncultured Oscillospiraceae bacterium. Its description in RNAcentral is "bacterial SSU rRNA". It matches the Rfam family "Bacterial small subunit ribosomal RNA", at positions 341 to 792 of the family's 1533-position model. The record is from RNAcentral. Lineage: Bacteria; Bacillati; Bacillota; Clostridia; Eubacteriales; Oscillospiraceae.